RNAcentral lists this ribosomal RNA (450 nucleotides) under uncultured bacterium. RNAcentral describes it as "partial 16S ribosomal RNA". It matches the Rfam family "Bacterial small subunit ribosomal RNA", at positions 354 to 796 of the family's 1533-position model. The record is from RNAcentral.
GUGGGGAAUUUUGGACAAUGCGCGCAAGCCUGAUCCAGCAAUGCCGCGUGCAGGAAGAAGGCCUUCGGGUUGUAAACUGCUUUUGUACGGAACGAAACGGUCCGGGUUAAUACCCUGGGCUAAUGACGGUACCGUAAGAAUAAGCACCGGCUAACUACGUGCCAGCAGCCGCGGUAAUACGUAGGGUGCAAGCGUUAAUCGGAAUUACUGGGCGUAAAGCGUGCGCAGGCGGUUUUGUAAGACAGGCGUGAAAUCCCCGGGCUCAACCUGGGAAUUGCGCUUGUGACUGCAAGGCUGGAGUGCGGCAGAGGGGGAUGGAAUUCCGCGUGUAGCAGUGAAAUGCGUAGAUAUGCGGAGGAACACCGAUGGCGAAGGCAAUCCCCUGGGCCUGCACUGACGCUCAUGCACGAAAGCGUGGGGAGCAAACAGGAUUAGAUACCCGAGUAGUCC